CUAAGGGGUACUAGGCUAAAAUUCAAAGAGAUAAAAGAGACUUGAAAGAAACUGCGGGAGUUGAAUUUAUAAAAUAUUUCAUUCACUUGAAUAACUUUAUAGCAAUUGUUUUAUCUUCUCCUUCCUCUUUUUAUUCAUUUUUUUCGAAGGAGUAUGUAUUGACAUGUAUUGAAAUAUUACAAACAUAAUUCCUUUUUUUUCUUCCUCUUAUCCUUCUAUUUUUUCUUCCUCUUAUCCUUCUAUUUUUUCAUUCCUUUUUUUUUUCUUUUCUAUUUUAUUUUUCUAUUUUUUUUCUUUUUCUGCCAUCUUCUGAAAUAUUACAAACAUAAUUAUUCAACCCCACACAACUCCAAACAAGACUCUUUCAACCCUUUGAAUAGGGUGAUAAUAUUGUUUUUCACUUCUCGGCUUGUAAUG
This 417-nucleotide long non-coding RNA is filed under the name Lathyrus oleraceus (garden pea). RNAcentral's name for it is "Pisum sativum (pea) long non-coding RNA (PSAT_LNC028499)". Lineage: Eukaryota; Viridiplantae; Streptophyta; Magnoliopsida; Fabales; Fabaceae. The record is from RNAcentral.